Molecule: transfer RNA, 87 nt
Filed under: Deltaproteobacteria bacterium
Lineage: Bacteria; Pseudomonadati; Myxococcota; Myxococcia
Description: tRNA-Leu
Rfam family: tRNA
About the family: Transfer RNA (tRNA) molecules are approximately 80 nucleotides in length.
Source: RNAcentral
GCCGAAGUGGCGGAAUUGGUAGACGCGCUAGGUUCAGGACUUAGUAGGUGUAAGCCUGUGCGGGUUCGAGUCCCGCCUUCGGCACCA